GUGGGGAAUAUUGGACAAUGGGCGCAAGCCUGAUCCAGCCAUGCCGCGUGAGUGAUGAAGGCCUUAGGGUUGUAAAGCUCUUUCAGUGGGGACGAUAAUGACGGUACCCACAGAAGAAGCCCCGGCUAACUUCGUGUCAGCAGCCGCGGUAAUACGAAGGGGGCUAGCGUUUUUCGGAUUUACUGGGCGUAAAGCGCACGUAGGCGGAUCGUUAAGUCGGGGGUGAAAUCCUGGAGCUCAACUCCAGAACUGCCUUCGAUACUGGCGAUCUUGAGUCCGGAAGAGGUGAGUGGAACUCCUAGUGUAGAGGUGGAAUUCGUAGAUAUUAGGAAGAACACCAGUGGCGAAGGCGGCUCACUGGUCCGGUACUGACGCUGAGGUGCGAAAGCGUGGGGAGCAAACAGGAUUAGAAACCCGUGUAGUCC
This 425-nucleotide ribosomal RNA is filed under the name uncultured bacterium. RNAcentral describes it as "partial 16S ribosomal RNA". It matches the Rfam family "Bacterial small subunit ribosomal RNA", at positions 354 to 796 of the family's 1533-position model. The record is from RNAcentral.